Molecule: ribosomal RNA, 492 nt
Filed under: uncultured bacterium
Lineage: Bacteria
Description: partial 16S ribosomal RNA
Rfam family: Bacterial small subunit ribosomal RNA
Source: RNAcentral
AGUGAACGCUGGCGGUAGGCCUAACACAUGCAAGUCGAACGGCAGCACAGUAAGAGCUUGCUCUUACGGGUGGCGAGUGGCGGACGGGUGAGGAAUACAUCGGAAUCUACUUUUUCGUGGGGGAUAACGUAGGGAAACUUACGCUAAUACCGCAUACGACCUACGGGUGAAAGCAGGGGAUCUUCGGACCUUGCGCGAUUGAAUGAGCCGAUGUCGGAUUAGCUAGUUGGCGGGGUAAAGGCCCACCAAGGCGACGAUCCGUAGCUGGUCUGAGAGGAUGAUCAGCCACACUGGAACUGAGACACGGUCCAGACUCCUACGGGAGGCAGCAGUGGGGAAUAUUAGACAAUGGGCGAAAGCCUGAUCCAGCAAUACCGCGUGGGUGAAGAAGGACUUAGGGUUGUAAAGCCCUUUUGUUGGGAAAGAAAAGCAGCAGGUUAAUACCCCGCUGUUCUGACGGUACCCAAAGAAUAAGCACCGGCUAACUUCGUG